UAGGGAAUCUUCCGCAAUGGACGAAAGUCUGACGGAGCAACGCCGCGUGAGUGAUGAAGGUUUUCGGAUCGUAAAACUCUGUUAUUAGGGAAGAACAAAUGUGUAAGUAACUGUGCACAUCUUGACGGUACCUAAUCAGAAAGCCACGGCUAACUACGUGCCAGCAGCCGCGGUAAUACGUAGGUGGCAAGCGUUAUCCGGAAUUAUUGGGCGUAAAGCGCGCGUAGGCGGUUUCUUAAGUCUGAUGUGAAAGCCCACGGCUCAACCGUGGAGGGUCAUUGGAAACUGGGAAACUUGAGUACAGAAGAGGAAAGUGGAAUUCCAUGUGUAGCGGUGAAAUGCGCAGAGAUAUGGAGGAACACCAGUGGCGAAGGCGACUUUCUGGUCUGUAACUGACGCUGAUGUGCGAAAGCGUGGGGAUCAAACAGG
RNAcentral lists this ribosomal RNA (429 nucleotides) under Bacillota bacterium. RNAcentral describes it as "Firmicutes bacterium partial 16S ribosomal RNA". It matches the Rfam family "Bacterial small subunit ribosomal RNA", at positions 355 to 776 of the family's 1533-position model. RNAcentral also lists the same sequence under 2 other names. Lineage: Bacteria; Bacillati; Bacillota. The record is from RNAcentral.